RNAcentral lists this ribosomal RNA (469 nucleotides) under uncultured Rhizobium sp. Its description in RNAcentral is "bacterial SSU rRNA". It matches the Rfam family "Bacterial small subunit ribosomal RNA", at positions 1 to 524 of the family's 1533-position model. Lineage: Bacteria; Pseudomonadati; Pseudomonadota; Alphaproteobacteria; Hyphomicrobiales; Rhizobiaceae. The record is from RNAcentral.
UAGAGUUUGAUCAUGGCUCAGAACGAACGCUGGCGGCAGGCUUAACACAUGCAAGUCGAACGCCCCGCAAGGGGAGUGGCAGACGGGUGAGUAACGCGUGGGAACGUACCCUUUACUACGGAAUAACUCAGGGAAACUUGUGCUAAUACCGUAUGUGCCCUUCGGGGGAAAGAUUUAUCGGCAAAGGAUCGGCCCGCGUUGGAUUAGGUAGUUGGUGGGGUAACGGCCUACCAAGCCGACGAUCCAUAGCUGGUUUGAGAGGAUGAUCAGCCACACUGGGACUGAGACACGGCCCAGACUCCUACGGGAGGCAGCAGUGGGGAAUCUUAGACAAUGGGCGCAAGCCUGAUCUAGCCAUGCCGCGUGAGCGAUGAAGGCCUUAGGGUUGUAAAGCUCUUUCAGCGAGGAAGAUAAUGACUGUACUCGCAGAAGAAGCCCCGGCUAACUCCGUGCCAGCAGCCGCGGUAAU